This 328-nucleotide unclassified non-coding RNA is filed under the name soil metagenome. RNAcentral's name for it is "partial contains 5.8S ribosomal RNA, internal transcribed spacer 2, and large subunit ribosomal RNA". The stretch from base 1 to 120 matches the Rfam family "5.8S ribosomal RNA", at positions 35 to 154 of the family's 154-position model. The record is from RNAcentral.
GAUGAAGAACGUAGUGAAAUGCGAUAAGUAAUGUGAAUUGCAGAAUUCAGUGAAUCAUCGAAUCUUUGAACGCACAUUGCGCCCCUUGGUAUUCCGAGGGGCAUGCCUGUUCGAGCGUCAUUAUAACCCCUCAAGCUCAGCUUGGUGUUGGGGCCUGCUGCACUGGCAGCCCUUAAAAUCAGUGGCGGCGCCAUCUGGCUCUAAGCGUAGUAAUUCUUCUCGCUAUGGAGUCCUGGUGGAUGCUUGCCAUCAACCCCCAAUUUUUCUAUGGUUGACCUCGGAUCAGGUAGGGAUACCCGCUGAACUUAAGCAUAUCAAUAGCGGAGGA